This 51-nucleotide transfer RNA is filed under the name Zaitzevhydrus formaster ulanulana. RNAcentral describes it as "tRNA-Lys". The record is from RNAcentral. Lineage: Eukaryota; Metazoa; Arthropoda; Insecta; Coleoptera; Dytiscidae.
UAGUAACUAUUUCGAAAAUCGACCCUUCGGAGCGUUUUUCUCCGUUAAUAA